This 1201-nucleotide unclassified non-coding RNA is filed under the name Drosophila ananassae. RNAcentral describes it as "GF25295". The record is from RNAcentral. Lineage: Eukaryota; Metazoa; Arthropoda; Insecta; Diptera; Drosophilidae.
AUGGCGCGAAUCGUCGAGAGCAGUUUUGUGCCUAUCGCCGUGGGCGUGGUUGCCGUAGUCGCCGGCGCCCUCAUCGUCCACUAUUUCCUGAACAGGAAGUCCACCAAACCCCGCCGGGAACCCAAUCGCACCGCCCGUCUCCGCACUCUGGUGGAUCCCAACGACAAAUACCUGCUGCCCCUCGUGGAGAAGGAGGUGCUCAGCCACGAUACCCGACGAUUCCGCUUCGGAUUGCCCUCCAAGCAGCAUGUCCUUGGCCUGCCGGUGGGUCAGCACAUCCAUCUGAUCGCCACCAUUGACAACGAACUGGUGAUCCGUCCGUAUACGCCCAUCUCGUCGGACGAAGAUGUCGGCUACGUGGAUCUGGUGGUCAAGGUCUACUUCAAGGACUCGCAUCCCAAGUUCCCGGCCGGCGGCAAGAUGACCCAGCAUUUGGAGAAAAUGGAACUGGGAGAUAAGAUCUCCUUCCGUGGUCCCUCCGGACGGCUGCAGUACCUCGGCAACGGCACCUUCUCCAUCAAGAAGCUGCGCAAGGAUCCGCCCAAGAAUGUCAACGCCAAGCGGGUGAACAUGAUUGCCGGCGGCACUGGCAUCACUCCCAUGCUGCAGUUGGUCCGCGAGGUCCUCAAGCGCAGUGACAAGGAUAAGACCGAACUGGCGCUUCUGUUUGCCAAUCAGAGCGAAAAGGACAUUCUUCUCCGCGACGAACUGGACGAACUGGCUCAAAAGCAUCCCGAGCAGUUCAAGGUCUGGUAUACCGUGGACAAGGCGGCUGAAGCCCUCAAACGGAUGCCGCGUGGAACGGGGAAUGCCCGAUUCAUAGCCUGGUCGUACAACACCGGCCACGUUAACGACGACAUGAUGCAGAGGCAUCUGUUUGCCCCGGAUCCGGAUACGUUGUGCCUGCUCUGCGGUCCGCCGCCGAUGGUCAACUAUACGUGCAUACCCGGAUUGGAGCGUCUGGGCCAUCGGUCCGAGCAGCGCUUUAGCUAUUAGGAUGCAGUGGUGGCCACUCCACUGACCACUAUUUACUCUCCCUGGGUUUUGCUUUCAUUUCACAAUCCCCCCCCAAGGCCAGCGGGAAAGAUUGCGCAGUGAUGGGAGAGGAGGCUGGCCAUAUAGCGUGGGCUUCAUCAACGAGGACAUGAUCGCCGCCCACCUCCUGCCCGCCUCGGACGACACCAUCGUGCUGCUGUGCGGC